CCAGCCUGACUUCUUCUGAUGAUGUGUUAUUUCACAUCCAUUUUUUUCCUGUCAAAUUUUCUUAUAAUCCUGAUAAAUAAUUUUGAGGUCAUCCACCCUAAAAUGUAAAAAUCUUCAUGAUAAUUUUCAACCUGUGAACUGUUUCAAACUGGUGCAAUUCUUCAAAUUCCUGGCUUGAAAUUUUUGUUUUUCAGUAUUUCAUAGUAGUGUUUAGAAGGUCUUGGACUGAUGCAUUCUUGCAAUACAGGGAAUUAUGUAGUGUAAGACCAGCUCUUGUAUGUGUCCACCCAAUCAUUAGCAAAAAUCCAGUCUGGAAUAGCUUGAAUGACUUCUUUGAGGAAAGGUGAAGAUGACUCUUUACCGUGAAUAUAAUGAGCUGCCACAGCAAAGUCCAACAAAUUGCUCUUGGCCGGGAGGUGUCUUUUUGGCUGAAAUGAUAUUUAAAUUAAAAGAAUCUUGGGAUAUAUUAGCCUGAGAGCAAGUGCUUGCUAUCAGCACUGCAGGACCCACGUUUCUCUGCCCAAGGAAUACUUGAGACAGGUCAGGGAGGGGGUUCACCAGGGCUCAAGUCAAGUCACCCAAAAGUCAUGUUGCUCAAAACCAGAGUCAAGUUGCCUGAAACUUUUAGUCUUGUUGCCAGAAAUCCUGAGUCAUGUCUCACGAGGAAACAAAUACUGAAAAGAUCUAACUGACAGACUCUAAAUGGGUAAUGAAGUUGAGAAAUCUUUAUCAAUAAAGCGCUGUUUGUUCCUAAUAAUACCAUGAAGAUGAUGAUCAGAAAAGAAAUAUGUUCUAGUGAUGACAACAAAAUGAAGCAUUGUUCAUUUGAUAUGAACUUGUUUUGAACUCACAAACGUUUUGUGAAUUUGAGAAAUCUUUAUCACUUAUGCAGUGUUCAUUUCCACCAAAACCAUGAAGACUUUGACUAGUACACAGAAAGCAAUCAUUUAGUCAGAACUGAAAUAUGUUUGAGUAAUGACCCUAAAAGCAUUGUUUGUUUUUGUAACAACAAUAUGAAGCAUUCUUCAUUUCUAUAACGACAAAAUGAAGUCUUGCACUUUUUAAAGGGUGUACAUUUCUACAAAACUGUGGUGCUGUGUUACUCAAGGCCUCAUAUUUUCCUGCAGGUGAAGAAACACUUGUGCCAAAGCACCUAUAAUAAGGACCUGCUUACAGACUAAGGUUAUCAAUUUUCAAACACCAGAUACUAAUACCGGUAGUUUAUUUUGUUAUUGUAUAAUCUAACUGACAGAAAACACUACAAUCCUACAAACUUAAUAUUUUAUUAAACAGCAAGUGAUGUUCUUGACAAGGAGCAACUCCUCAAAGCAGUAAAAUACUUAUCAUUAAUAAACUUAAUUAAGCCCACCACAGUCUAAAUCCUAGCUCACCACUGACACAAUCUCACUGCUGUCUCCACAGUUCCUUGAAAUAAGUGAUCUUCAGCAGUAACUCUCUCUCAGUAUAGCUUUCUAUACAGUCGUUGCUCCAACAACAACAACUACCCCAACUACCACAUAAGUGAGUCUUUAUAUAUAUAUAUAUAUACAAAAUGUUCUGGAACAUUUCAGAAGCUUACAAAGUCAGACGACCGCAAGGCAGGAGUCUGAUUUGUUAAUCACGAGUAUGAUUAAUACUGUAAUUGUCCAACUCACCAGAAGCUCAAGCGAUAGUUCCCAGGGCCCCACAUCAGUACCAUGAGAAUAGUAAAUAAAGUACACAACUCUGUCUCCACCAUCUUGAAUUGGUAAAAGGGGACCAAGGGAAGAGGUCAGCAAAUCUACGUCACUAGCAGGUGAUACAUAUACAGCCAUGUGAUCAGGACCUAAGGCAGUUAGAAGUCAGACACUGCUUUGUUAUCAAGUAGCCAUGAAAGUGCUCCUUAAACAUUCAAGGAUAGUGAAUUGGCCAUGCAAUGAAUAACCAGAGACCAAUCGAAGAACAUUGAAUGAGCAAGUACCACAUACCGCACAAGAUGCCUCAAUGGCAAGUAAUAAGGAAAACCUCCAUAAACUCCGUCCUGAGGUGCAGGCAAAGCCUUUUUAAACAUGGGUAUAUCACUGAAUGGCUGUAUGCCAAGAUAGUCUAGUGGAGUGAUCCAGGCACCUGCAUCUUGUUGAACCACUUCACCAGCAUUAUUGUAAAAUGUUCUUGAUGUGUGCUGCAUGUAGAAAAAAUGUUGAUGAGAGGUUUAACUGAAAAACAUCUUUUGGAUGGCGUCAUCAAUGGUGUGAACAUACCCACUAUUUAAUGGUCUAAUAAAUGGUUGUGAAAAUGUGCACUCCAGUGUGAAUUUAGAACCCUCCAAAAAGUAAUAAUCUAUGCUGAAAGCUUGAACAAUUAAAAUGCAA
Non-coding RNA from Pocillopora verrucosa, 2351 nucleotides. The record is from RefSeq and is a predicted model, not a curated record. NCBI's taxonomy places the organism in Eukaryota, Metazoa, Cnidaria, Anthozoa, Scleractinia, Pocilloporidae.